GGGCGGGGCGAGCAGGGCGAGCGGUACCGGCACCGGCUACUGGCGCCGGGUGGCAGGGCGGGACAGGCGGCGUCGCCGGUACCUGCCAGGAACGACGCGGCGUAGGGGACGGCCAGGAGGAAGAGGACGCAGCGGGCCUCCAUACGCCGGCGACGAACGCAACAACGACGGGGACACUCGAGCGCGUACACGAGGCGGGGUAUCCGCAGCGGUAGCUGACGUCUUCCAGGUACGGCCCGGGUUUGAGCUCCUGGUGGCAAACCCACCGGGCACCAAAUCGCUGGCGGCAGUGCGGCCUGGUGGGGGCCGGGACCGGAUCCCAAACCACCCGCUCGAGUCACGGCAGAAGGUCACCACCUGCUCCUCUAGGCCGUGCUUGGUGUGUGUCCCUCCUCGAGUUGGAGACGACGGAGACGCACGGGGGUCCUUAUUUCUACCGUUGAAAACCCCCGUUCCAAUAAAAUUUCAGACUACUAACGAUACAGCACGUUCUCCCACAACUCGACUAUCCAUUAACGUCCUCAGCUACUAUACAUAUAAGGUCGUGGAAAUGAGUUCCCAGGUUGUUUCCGUCGUAACUGGAGAGGAAUAGAUGUCGGAUCACUACCGGUGGUGGUCAAAACUUCGACCAACUCCAGGAAGCAUGAGAAACUCUCCACCGUGUGUAUGAUAUCUUCGCGAGGACCUGACUCUUCGUAGAACCAGGGUUUCCGCUCAGUUAACUAAUGUCUCCACAAGAAGUAGUACUACCGAGACAAAACUACGGUCAAAGGAACCUAGUUAACCUCCAUUGUACAUAAAAAGAAUGGGAAAAAACACCGAACAUAACUAUAAAAGGAACACACUGGGGUGGUUUUCUAUAGAGCUACGUUGAUAAAAGAUUAGAUUUGUACCUACUGAAAGUCGUUAGAGAAUCAAAAGUACGUAAAUCGUUCUUACGAUGAAACAAUGAACCCAAAAUAUAAAAGGAACACACUGGGGUGGUUUUCUAUAGAGCAACGUCGAUAAAAGAUUAGAUUUGUACCUACUGAAAGUCGUUAGAGAAUCAAAAGUACGUAAAUCGUUCUUACGAUGAAACAAUGAACCCAACUAUUUUAUCGAUGUCGUGUAACUCCGUUUUCCGUUUACAUGUACGAGGAAUAAUGAAUAGUCUUUUGAAAAGGUCCCUCAAAAAAACUACAAAGAGUAUACUUUAACCUAAGUAUGAUUACGACAAGAAUGUAGGGUUUACUUUCCCAGGUACGAUAUCUUUAUUUAACGAAAUUAAGUGUAAGAAAUCUUCAUAUACGUUAGCACCUGAUCUACGUUUUAAAGACAACAUACAGUAGGAAAUUGACUGAUGCUUAGUCGCAAAAUAACAUGUUUACGAAGGACCAUACCCUGGACCUAUUCUUCAUAAACCGGACCUGUAAACUUAAAUAAGCCUGUAAAAUAGAAUGAUAUACCACUUGACCCUAGUUGUAUACACCUGUACGUUUUUAUGUACGCGAUUCUGAGUAUAUUGAUAAGUAUUGUACUCAAUCCUUGUUCACGUCUAGACAUUAAAAGUCGUUCGCUCUCUCCUAAUGUAAAUCAACAAAGUCAAAAUUUGAUGUGAACUCGGUGAUAAGGACUAUCAAGGUUUGAUUACAAAACAAACCGAACGACGAACGUACUUAACUUGGUACGAAGGUCAAAAUUUGAUGUGCACUCGGUGCCAAUUACUAUUAAGGUUUGACUACAAAACAGACGGAACGUACUUAACUUGGUACGAUGAGACUUUACAACCAGAUCGCCUAAGAAUGCUUACCCGUUUGAAUCCUUAUGUAACUUAAAGAUCUACAAAAAUCGGAUGAGAAAAGUAACGAAAAGGUUACAUCCAACAAUCGUACAAUGUGAAAAGUACGUAUACGAGACAACAACGGAGAUGGAGGAGAAAGAUGUCCAACGCUAUGUUCAGUGCCUGGUCUUCUGGUAUUCGUCCGUAAGCUACGAAGAGCGAAACGGAUUAGGUCGUCAUCCCGCAGUGACUGUCCCACCGCGUGUUGAGACGAAAGUGCCUGAUAGGUGCUCAGCCCCUGCUGAUUAACUCGUACGCCGACCAACUUCGUUUGCUGUUAGACCGUCGUCUUCGAACACCAACUCGGCUCGUAACAUUCCUAGGUUCAUCUUGCUACGAGGUAGAGAACAAUCUCGUCGGACCCGAAGGGUUCCGGUAAAUGGCACAGUCUCCUAUGAACGUCUUGUGCUAUUCAUUGGCAAGAAAAGUUGUGGUGACAGGUCUUAUCGCCCUCGACAGGUUGCGUUAACAACUAAUGAACACACAACGAGAGGUUUACUCCGUUACCCCCUUCUAAGACGGCGGAAACUCCGUUAAUACAUGUACCUCUUGCGGUGUUUGUAACACCGUUUCCUUGACUUUUAUGCUUACCGACUCGUUUACGUGGAGCGCGGAACGGUUCCGCGCUAAGGAUUAAGGAUAGAUCAGGUACUACUACGAGCCGCUCGACACCGCGGACACUUCGGCGGUAACGGAACCGGUGGUGGCGCCCAUCCUACCCGCCGGGAUAGUCACCUACCUGGAAAAAGCAGAUUACUACCGUGUCGUCGACGACCGGCGGCUGGGCUGUAGGUUCUGGAACUGUGGCAGAGUGGGCUCUAAGCGGCGAUGGGGUUGGUUUCUGUGCUCGACUUUCCUGGGCGGAAAGCGUGGGGACCCGACGGGGGUCACGGCUCUGGGUUAUCCGGCCGGUUUUGAUCGGAGGUAGUGGAGCAGGAUGCCGUGGCCCGCGCUCUGCUCGAGCCAGGACGACGGCCCGCGCUCUGCUCGUAUUAGGACGACGGCCCGUGCUCUGUUCGAGCCAGGACGACGGCCCGCGCUCUGUUCCAGUCAGGACGACGGCCCGCGCUCUGCUCGGGCCAGGACGACGGACCACGCUCUGCUCACUACCUGGCGCCGACCCCUUCCCGGUUGGUAGCUGCUUCUAAAGGCCGGCGGCGGAACUUGCUGGGUUUGGUGGCGGCACUCGGUGGUGGUGCAGCACCGUCGGGUGUAGGUGUGCGGCCCUGGUGAUCCCCCUCGGGGCGCGGCGGCAUGGCUGUACGUGGUGACCUUCUCCGUCCGGGUCGUCGUCUGCGGCGGUCGGUGGGGUGGUACCGUGCGGGGACGAGGCCGGUGGAGGUCGUGGGUUCCUGGCGGCCUCUGCUGGCCUGGUGUGGCGGAGUCGGGCGGCGGGCGCUCUUGACGGCCGGCCUCCUCCUCGGGCGGUCUAGACCUAGCCUGGCGGUGUUGGGGCUGCGGCGGGUGGGACGCGUCCGUGGGAGGCGGCUGGGGUCGUCGGGAGGUGCGCGGCGGUGGCAGCGGCCCUACUGGUGGCAGCAGCGCGGGACGGGUCGCGGCGCGUAUGUGGGUUCCGCCAAAGGGGCGCGGUCGGUCGGGGCACGCUUCCCUCUUCUUCCGGGCGGCCGCGCGAAGCCGUCGCCGACCCCUUCCCGGGGGGGAGGGGGGGCGCGCGCUCGCCCGCUCAGCCCUCAUGAUACAGGAAAGUUGACAUUACUCCACCACCUCAGUCUCUAGGUACGUGACUACGUUCCAUACCGUGACCGGUAUGUUGUAUGCCUAGACGACUAGGAGCAAGUUAGACUGAGCAGACUUCGAGAAAGAUAGGACUGGCUACUAUGAGAAAGGACCAGCCGUAUACCAGUAAAUCGAUGACUCUAAUUCCGGGAAUACCUUCCCUCCCUCAAACAAGGUGUCGUUUAAUCUUCUCUCGUUUUAUCCCAUCGUCUAGUUAACCGACAAAUGCCAGCAUGACUCAGAACGUACCGAUAAACCUACUUGUUUCGACGUACGUGCUUUCCGGAUGAGAAAAACCUCCGGGACCCGACGAGCUCGAACUGACUUGACCCAUCGAACGACAUGGAGGGGUACACGGGCGCAGACGUACAACUAAUGGGCCAGCUAUUUUUCCUCCUAUAUCACUAUACCGGUGAAGCACUUUAUGAUGUGUAUACACGGAGUGGCUCAGUGGCGGCAGUACAUUGGGAGAGGGGGGAAGAAGAGGCCGCGGCCGCUGGGUGGGGGCGUGGGUGUGGGUGCUGUAAGUGGAGAAACGGAGUGUUCGACAGUCAAAAGAAAAGGUUACUUUAGCUGAUU
RNAcentral lists this ribosomal RNA (4135 nucleotides) under Triticum aestivum (bread wheat). RNAcentral describes it as "partial small subunit ribosomal RNA". Lineage: Eukaryota; Viridiplantae; Streptophyta; Magnoliopsida; Poales; Poaceae. The record is from RNAcentral.